Molecule: long non-coding RNA, 1175 nt
Filed under: Homo sapiens (human)
Lineage: Eukaryota; Metazoa; Chordata; Mammalia; Primates; Hominidae
Description: HSALNT0207307
Source: RNAcentral
AAACACUCAGCACCCACUCAGCACCCAAUCAGCACCCAACACUCAGCACCCAGUGCCAAAACACUCAGCACCCACUCAGUGCCCAACACUCAGCACCCAAACACACAGCACCUAAACACUCAGCACCCAAACACUCAGUGCCCAAACAGCCCCCAAACACUCAGCGCCCACACAGCACCCACUCAGCACCCACUCAGUGCCAAAACAGCACCCAUUCAGCACCCACAGCACCCAAACACAGCACCCACUCAGCACCCAAACACACAGCACCUAAACACAGCACCCACUCAGUACCCAAACACACAGCACCUAAACACUCAGCACCAAAACACACAGCACCUACUCAGCACCCAAACAUUCAGCACCCACUCAGCACCCAAACACACAGCACCCAAGCACUCAGCACCCAAACACACAGCACCCAAACACUCAGCACCAAAACACUCAGCACCCAAACACACAGCACCCAAACACUCAGCGCCCACUCAGUGCCCACUCAGCACCCAAACACACAGCACCCACUCAGCGCCGAAACACUCAGCACCCAAACACUCAGCACCCAAACACACAGCACCCACUCAGCACCCACUCAGCGCCGAAACACUCAGCACCCACUCAGCACCCAAACACACAGCACCCACUCAGCACCCACUCAGCGCCGAAACACUCAGCACCCAAACACACAGCACCUAAACACUCAGCACCCAAACACACAGCACCCAAACACUCAGUGCCAAAACACUCAGCACCCAAACACACAGCACCCACUCAGCGCCGAAACACUCAGCACCCACUCAGCACCCAAACACACAGCACCUAAACACUCAGCACCCAAACACUCCGCACCCACACAGCACCCAACCACUCAGCACCCAAACACACAGCACCCAAACACUCAGCACUCACUCAGCGCCAAAACACUCAGCACCCAAACACACAGCACGCAAACACUCAGCGCCCACUCAGUGCCCACUCAGCACCCAAACACACAGCACCCACUCAGCACCCACUCAGCGCCGAAACACUCAGCACCCAAACACUCAGCACCCAAACACACAGCACCCACUCAGCGCCGAAACACUCAGCACCCAAACACACAGCACCCACUCAGUGCCAAAACACUCAGCACCCAAACACACAGCACCUAAACACUCAGCACCCAAACACUCCACACC